Molecule: transfer RNA, 55 nt
Filed under: Acinetobacter baumannii
Lineage: Bacteria; Pseudomonadati; Pseudomonadota; Gammaproteobacteria; Moraxellales; Moraxellaceae
Description: tRNA-Gly
Rfam family: tRNA
About the family: Transfer RNA (tRNA) molecules are approximately 80 nucleotides in length. Their secondary structure includes four short double-helical elements and three loops (D, anti-codon, and T loops).
Source: RNAcentral
UAGCUCAGUUGGUAGAGCAUAACCUUGCCAAGGUUGGGGUCGCGAGUUCGAGUCU